UGGCUGAACGCCUCUAAGUCA
This 21-nucleotide unclassified non-coding RNA is filed under the name Dictyostelium discoideum. The record is from RNAcentral. Lineage: Eukaryota; Evosea; Eumycetozoa; Dictyosteliales; Dictyosteliaceae.